Molecule: long non-coding RNA, 1083 nt
Filed under: Oncorhynchus kisutch (coho salmon)
Lineage: Eukaryota; Metazoa; Chordata; Actinopteri; Salmoniformes; Salmonidae
Description: lncRNA (ENSOKIG00005001123.1)
Source: RNAcentral
AUGUUAACUGUAAAAGUAUUUGUAACACAAAGGCUAAUGUUCAAAAGUAUCUGUGAGCAUAACAAUGGAGCUAAAUUGUUUCAUAUCAGAUAUGUACACACGUCAGCUACGGUAUAUGUGAUCAGAUAUGUACACACGUCAGCUAAUGUACAUGUGAUCAGAUAUGUACACAUGUCAGCUACUGUACAUGUGAUCAGAUAUGUACACAUGUCAGCUACUGUACAUAUGAUCAGAUAUGUACACACGUCAGCUACUGUACAUGUGAUCAGAUAUGUACACAAGUCAGCUAAUGUACAUGUGAUCAGAUGUGUACUCAUGUCAGCUACUGUACAUGUGAUCAGAUAUAUAAACACAUCAGCUACUGUACAUGUGAUCAGAUAUGUACACAUGUCAGCUACUGUACAUGUGAUCAGAUAUGUACACACAUCAGCUACUGUACAUGUGAUCAGAUAUGUACACCCGUCAGCUACUGUACAUGUGAUCAGAUAUAUACACACAUCAGCUACUGUACAUGUGAUCAGAUAUGUACACACGUCAGCUACUGUACAUGUGAUCAGAUAUAUACACACGUCAGCUACUGUACAUGUGAUCAGAUAUGUACACACGUCAGCUACUGUACAUAUGAUCAGAUAUGUACACACGUCAGCUAAUGUACAUGUGAUCAGAUAUGUACACACGUCAGCUACUGUACAUGUGAUCAGAUAUGUACACACGUCAGCUACUGUACAUGUGAUCAGAUAUGUACACACGUCAGCUACUGUACAUGUGAUCAGAUAUAUACACACAUCAGCUACUGUACAUGUGAUCAGAUAUGUACACACGUCAGCUACUGUACAUGUGAUCAGAUAUGUACACACGUCAGCUACUGUACAUGUGAUCAGAUAUGUACACACGUCAGCUACUGUACAUGUGAUUUGUCGCUUGACAAUACAAAUAAAUAAACCGUCAAACAUAUAUGAGCAAAGGAGAAAAAUACAAAUAUUUUUUAUAUGUAUUCUUGAACUGUUUAUUGUUGUUAUUACUCUGCUGUGUAUUAAACAAUCCGUAUAUUUUGGAUUCAGCAUUGUGUCAACUUUGGUUUAA